UACCAGACUCCUACGGGAGGCAGCAGUGAGGAAUAUUGGUCAAUGGGCGAGAGCCUGAACCAGCCAAGUCGCGUGAGGGAAGACGGUCCUAUGGAUUGUAAACCUCUUUUGCCGGGGAGCAAAAAGCGGUACGUGUACCGCAUCGAGAGUACCCGGAGAAAAAGCAUCGGCUAACUACGUGCCAGCAGCCGCGGUCAUACGUAGGAUCCGAGCAUUAUCCGGAGUGACUGGGUGUAAAGAGUUGCGUAGGUGGCAUAAUAAGUAGCUAGUGAAAUCUGGUGGCUCAACCAUUCAGACUAUUAGCUAAACUGUUAAGCUCGAGACCGUUAGGGGUAACUGGAAUUUCUAGUGUAGGAGUGAAAUCCGUAGAUAUUAGAAGGAACACCGAUAGCGUAGGCAGGUUACUGGGACGGUACUGACACUAAGGCACGAAAGCGUAGGGAGCAAACGGGAUUAGAUACCCGAGUA
Molecule: ribosomal RNA, 468 nt
Filed under: uncultured bacterium
Lineage: Bacteria
Description: bacterial SSU rRNA
Rfam family: Bacterial small subunit ribosomal RNA
Source: RNAcentral